AGAGUUUGAUCCUGGCUCAGGACGAACGCUGGCGGCGUGCUUAACACAUGCAAGUCGAACGGUAAGGCCCUUCGGGGUACACGAGUGGCGAACGGGUGAGUAACACGUGGGUAAUCUGCCCUGCACAUCGGGAUAAGCCUGGGAAACUGGGUCUAAUACCGAAUAGGACCACAGAACACAUGUCCUGUGGUGGAAAGCUUUUGCGGUGUGGGAUGGGCCCGCGGCCUAUCAGCUUGUUGGUGGGGUGAUGGCCCACCAAGGCGACGACGGGUAGCCGGCCUGAGAGGGUGUCCGGCCACACUGGGACUGAGAUACGGCCCAGACUCCUACGGGAGGCAG
This 339-nucleotide ribosomal RNA is filed under the name uncultured Mycobacterium sp. RNAcentral describes it as "bacterial SSU rRNA". It matches the Rfam family "Bacterial small subunit ribosomal RNA", at positions 8 to 351 of the family's 1533-position model. Lineage: Bacteria; Bacillati; Actinomycetota; Actinomycetes; Mycobacteriales; Mycobacteriaceae. The record is from RNAcentral.